GCUUUGUAUGGUCUAAAACAGUCAUCUAGAGCAUGGUUUGAUAGGUUCAAUAAAGCGAAGAUCUCCUUUGGAUACUACCAAAGCAAUGCUGAUCAUACCUUAUUUAUAAGACAUUCUAGAGGUAAGAUCACUUUGUUUAUUGUCUAUGUGGAUGAUAUAGUUGUGACAGGAGAUGAUAGGGAGGAAUUUGCUCGAUUGAAAACUCUC
This 207-nucleotide unclassified non-coding RNA is filed under the name Hevea brasiliensis (rubber tree). Lineage: Eukaryota; Viridiplantae; Streptophyta; Magnoliopsida; Malpighiales; Euphorbiaceae. The record is from RNAcentral.